This 776-nucleotide ribosomal RNA is filed under the name uncultured Neocallimastigales. RNAcentral's name for it is "partial large subunit ribosomal RNA". It matches the Rfam family "Eukaryotic large subunit ribosomal RNA", at positions 20 to 627 of the family's 3401-position model. The record is from RNAcentral. Lineage: Eukaryota; Fungi; Neocallimastigomycota; Neocallimastigomycetes; Neocallimastigales.
UACUAGAGUAGCACUCGCAUAUCAAUAAGCGGAGGAAAAGAAACUAACAAGGAUUCCCCUAGUAACGGCGAGUGAAGCGGGAAGAGCUCAAAUUUGAAAUCUUAAAGGGUUUCCCUUUACGAAUUGUAGUUUAAAGAAGUGUUUCUCUGUUGAGGUUUUGGUAAAAGUUCUUUGGAAUAGGACAUCAUAGAGGGUGAGAAUCCCGUAUUUGACCUUUACUUUCAACUUUGUGAGUACACUUUCAAAGAGUCGGAUUGUUUGGGAAUGCAGUCCAAAAUGGGUGGUAAAUUUCAUCUAAAGCUAAAUAUUGGCGAGAGACCGAUAGCGAACAAGUACCGUGAGGGAAAGAUGAAAAGAACUUUGAAAAGAGAGUUAAACAGUACGUGAAAUUGUCAAAAGGGAAGCGUUUAACACCAGUGUUGUUUUUCUGAAAAUCAAUUAAAGAACUGUUUAUGCUAAGUUGUUUAGACUUUAUCAGCUAACUGUUUAGUUUUGAGCUUUUCUUUAAUGCACUUUUCAGUUAACAAGUCAACAUCAAUUUCUUUUGCUGUAAAAAAGCUUGAGGAAGGUGGCUUGAGAUUCGUCUUAAGUGUUUAUAGCCUCUUGCCUAUGCAGUCGGAGAGAUUGAGGUCUGCAGCGUAGAUCCUUCGGGGCUAAAUGCAUUUGUGCUAAGUUAUAGCAUUUUAUAGACAACUUGUUGACUAUGAUUUGUCUUGUAGCUUACUCGCUUAUGUUAUUUUACCUACGCUUAGGAUGUUGAACUCUAUCACACACAG